RNAcentral lists this small RNA (975 nucleotides) under Rattus norvegicus (Norway rat). Its description in RNAcentral is "uncharacterized LOC102553921". Lineage: Eukaryota; Metazoa; Chordata; Mammalia; Rodentia; Muridae. The record is from RNAcentral.
UUCCUCGGAUGUCCACAGCCUUAAAAAUGUCAGUGAGCUCUGUGCCUGUAAGUCCUCUAACAAAGUAACCAGGACUUCCCACACUCAUGCCAAGAAAGAUUGUCACCAGGAUGACCUUUGUUAACAGCAAAAAGGUCACAAAGGAAAUACACAGAGGCGGGGCAUGGCUGUUGGAGGUCUAUCAUGGAGCGCCACACAGCCAUGAAGGAUUAUCCUGUGAAACACCAACUCUGUGGUUAACCACACACCCUAUUACCCAAGCAACCGGGGUCAGCACCUCUACUCAUAAGUCACCCUAACACCAUGAAUCUUGGGAUGUGACACACCAGGAAGGACAGUGUCACUUCUGUUGUUCUCAAUGGAACUGCAAGAAAAAGAGAGAUAAAUCCAAAUAGUCGAGUGUGCAGAAUAACCAACCACCCAGCGCUCUUUAAGACAAAGAUCAAGGACUCAGUGACGGGAGAAGGCCCAGGAGAAAGGAUAAGUCAAUGCGGUUUCUUGCAUGUUACUUCUGACGACCACCAAACAGAAGGCGGGGUUUCUUUGGCAAGUCCAACAAAGGGAGGGCGAUGGAGAUGGAGUGAGGGCGCCUCUCCUCCCUGUCACCAGGAGAGACACGUGGAGACUGUUAGGUAUUAACCAAGCUCUGACCUUCUGAGCCUCUACUCACUGCUAUCCCAAGUACUGGAGUCCCAUGGGAUCGUGAGGGUCAGAGAGGUAACAAGGUGGCUUGGAGGAGUAUGUGGAUAUCUCAGAACACCGGAGGCAAAAUGGCUGCAGCUUCGAGUACUGGUGAAUCCAGGAGCUCAAACGUGGAGUCAAGAUUCCCUCCCUCGCUUCCCUGCUUGUCAGCUGUGGUUGUCUCUGCUCCUCUUUGGUGACUUUUAGGAGGUAUGUGCUGGGCACCCCUCUGCACACAGCAUCGCCGUGGCUGUGGUGAGAACGCUGGUUUCUUUUAAAACCACGGAAAUAUGA